UGGGGGAUAUUGCACAAUGGGGGAAACCCUGAUGCAGCGACGCCGCGUGAAGGAAGAAGGCCUUCGGGUUGUAAACUUCUGUCGUAAGGGACGAUAAUGACGGUACCUUACAAGAAAGCCACGGCUAACUACGUGCCAGCAGCCGCGGUAAAACGUAGGUGGCAAGCGUUGUCCGGAAUUACUGGGUGUAAAGGGAGCGCAGGCGGACUGACAAGUUGGAAGUGAAAUCUAUGGGCUCAACCCAUAAAUUGCUUUCAAAACUGCCAGCCUUGAGUAGUGCAGAGGUAGGCGGAAUUCCCGGUGUAGCGGUGGAAUGCGUAGAUAUCGGGAGGAACCCCAGUGGCGAAGGCGGCCUGCUGGGCACCAACUGACGCUGAGGCUCGAAAGUGUGGGUAGCAAACAGG
Molecule: ribosomal RNA, 404 nt
Filed under: uncultured bacterium
Lineage: Bacteria
Description: bacterial SSU rRNA
Rfam family: Bacterial small subunit ribosomal RNA
Source: RNAcentral